UCUCCGCUUCGCAAGCACAGGUGAAGAGGUGCACCAGCGAGAGCAGCACAACAAGUCAUGUCAAUCGCUACUGUCACCAAUCCAUCUCUCUGUUCAUCCCCUUCCCUUUUCAGAGCACAGCCUACCAGGAGAAGUCCACCCUCCUUUCUCCUCCCCCACUUCUCCUGCACCAGAUCCUAUAAGCAUAGAGGCCUUGUUGCUAGAGCGGAUUCUUCUUCUUCUUCUUCUUCUUCUUCUUCUUCAGCUAUUGAGUCUCAGCCAUCGAAGUCGGACGGUGGGGAGGACGGAGCAGGAGAAGGUGAGGAGUACGAGGUUGAAUUGGAGAAGCCAUAUGGGCUAAAGUUCGUGAAGGGACGUGAUGGAGGCACCUACAUCGAUGCGAUAGCACCCGGUAGCGCCGCCGAUAGGUCGGGGAUGUUCACUGUGGGAGACAG
RNAcentral lists this long non-coding RNA (434 nucleotides) under Musa acuminata (dwarf banana). Its description in RNAcentral is "long non-coding RNA (MACU_LNC002352)". The record is from RNAcentral. Lineage: Eukaryota; Viridiplantae; Streptophyta; Magnoliopsida; Zingiberales; Musaceae.